GCUAAACAGCUAGCUUAAAUACCCAAACAACUAAUACAACAUUAAAACCCUGCACAAGACCAACAUGCCACAAACUAAAACAUUUUACCGCCCAAGUAUGUGCGACAGAAAAGGCAACACUAAAGCCAUAGAAAUAGUACCGUAAGGGAACGCUGAAAGAGAAAUGAAACAAAUCAUUAAAGCACAACAAAGCAGAGAUUAACUCUCGUACCUUUUGCAUCAUGAUUUAGCCAGCCCCCCUGAGCAAAGAGAACUUUAGUUCAAAGCCCCGAAACUAAGUGAGCUACCCCGAGACAGCCUAUUAUUUAGGGCCAACCCGUCUCUGUGGCAAAAGAGUGGGAAGAUCUCCAGGUAGAGGUGACAGACCUACCGAACCUAGUUAUAGCUGGUUGCCUAAGAAAUGGAUAGAAGUUCAGCCUCGCACUCCUUAAUUCAGAACCCAAUAAUUCACAAGAACCAUAGUAAUAUGCGAGAGUUAGUCAUAAGGGGUACAGCCCUUACGAAACAGAAUACAACCUCACCAGGUGGUUAAAGAUUAUAUUAAACAAGAUAAACUGCUUCAGUGGGCCUAAAAGCAGCCAUCUGAUCAGAAAGCGUUAAAGCUCCGGCAGAACCAAAUUCCAUUAUUUAAAUAUUAAAUCUAAAACCCCUAAUCUUAUUAGGCCAUUCCAUGCCCACAUGGAAGAGAUACUGCUAAAAUGAGUAAUAAGAAGGAACCUCCCCCUUCUCCAAGCCUACGUGUAUACUAGAUCGGACCAACCACUAGUAAUUAUCGACCCCAAACAAAGAGGGAAAUGUGAUCACAUUAAACAACAAGAAAUACCCACACAACCCAAUCGUUAACCCCACACUGGAAGGCAUUAAGGAAAGACCAAAAAAAAAGGAAGGAACUCGGCAAACACAAGCCUCGCCUGUUUACCAAAAACAUCGCCUCCUGCAAACCAACGACGUAUAGGAGGUCUUGCCUGCCCAGUGACAAUGUUUAACGGCCGCGGUAUUUUGACCGUGCGAAGGUAGCGCAAUCACUUGUCUUUUAAAUGAAGACCUGUAUGAAUGGUGAAACGAGGGCUUAACUGUCUCCCUUUUCUAGUCAAUGAAAUUGAUCUGCCCGUGCAGAAGCGGACAUAAAAAUACAAGACGAGAAGACCCUUUGGAGCUUAAGAUAUAAAGAUCACCUAUGUCAAUGAACCCCUAUACGGCAACAAACUAAAUAGCAACUGAUCUUAAUCUUCGGUUGGGGCGACCACGGGAGAAAAUAAAGCUCCCACGCGGACGGGGGUAAACCCUAAAACCAAGAAAAACAUUUCUAAACAACAGAACUUCUGACCAUUAAGAUCCGGCCACACGGCCGACCAACGGACCAAGUUACCCUAGGGAUAACAGCGCAAUCCCCUUUCAGAGUCCAUAUCGACAAGGGGGUUUACGACCUCGAUGUUGGAUCAGGACAUCCUAAUGGUGCAGCCGCUAUUAAGGGUUCGUUUGUUCAACGAUUAAAGUCCUACGUGAUCUGAGUUCAGACCGGAGCAAUCCAGGUCAGUUUCUAUCUGUAACGCUACUCUUCCUAGUACGAAAGGACCGGAAAAGAGGGGCCCAUGUUAUAAGACACGCCCCACCCUAACUUAAUGUAAUCAACUAAAUUAAAUAAAAGGAAGGCACAAACCCAUAUCAAGAUAAGAUU
Molecule: ribosomal RNA, 1678 nt
Filed under: Glyptothorax deqinensis
Lineage: Eukaryota; Metazoa; Chordata; Actinopteri; Siluriformes; Sisoridae
Description: 16S ribosomal RNA
Rfam family: Bacterial large subunit ribosomal RNA
Source: RNAcentral